UACGGAGGGUGCAAGCGUUAUCCGGAUUUACUGGGUUUAAAGGGUGCGUAGGCGGACAGGUAAGUCAGUGGUGAAAUCUCCGGGCUUAACCCGGAAACUGCCGUUGAUACUAUUUGUCUUGAAUAUUGUGGAGGUAAGCGGAAUAUGUCAUGUAGCGGUGAAAUGCUUAGAUAUGACAUAGAACACCAAUUGCGAAGGCAGCUUACUACACAACGAUUGACGCUGAGGCACGAAAGCGUGGGGAUCAAACAGG
This 253-nucleotide ribosomal RNA is filed under the name uncultured bacterium. RNAcentral's name for it is "partial 16S ribosomal RNA". It matches the Rfam family "Bacterial small subunit ribosomal RNA", at positions 524 to 776 of the family's 1533-position model. The record is from RNAcentral.